RNAcentral lists this ribosomal RNA (719 nucleotides) under uncultured bacterium. Its description in RNAcentral is "bacterial SSU rRNA". It matches the Rfam family "Bacterial small subunit ribosomal RNA", at positions 57 to 789 of the family's 1533-position model. The record is from RNAcentral.
ACGAGACAAAAGCGAAGUGCUUGCACGGAACUUUUAGAAAGUGGCGAACGGGUGAGUAACGCGUGGGUAACCUGCCCUAUGGAAAGGAAUAGCCUCGGGAAACUGGGAGUAAUGCCUUAUAAUACAUUGAAGUCGCAUGGCUUUGAUGUUAAACGCUCCGGUGCCAUAGGAUGGACCCGCGUCCCAUUAGCUAGUUGGUGAGAUAACAGCUCACCAAGGCGACGAUGGGUAACCGGUCUGAGAGGGCGAACGGUCACACUGGAACUGAGACACGGUCCAGACUCCUACGGGAGGCAGCAGUGGGGAAUAUUGCGCAAUGGGGGAAACCCUGACGCAGCAAUACCGCGUGAGUGAAGAAGGUUUUCGGAUCGUAAAGCUCUGUUAUUGGGGAAGAAAAAAAGACGGUACCCAAGAAGAAAGUCCCGGCUAACUACGUGCCAGCAGCCGCGGUAAUACGUAGGGGACAAGCGUUGUCCGGAUUUACUGGGCGUAAAGGGCACGCAGGCGGUUUUUUAAGUCAGAUGUGAAAGGUACCGGCUCAACCGGUGACAUGCAUUUGGAACUGAAAGACUUGAGUAUUGGAGAGGCAAGUGGAAUUCCUAGUGUAGCGGUGAAAUGCGUAGAUAUUAGGAGGAACACCGGUGGCGAAGGCGGCUUGCUGGACAAAUACUGACGCUGAGGUGCGAAAGCGUGGGGAGCAAACAGGAUUAGAUACCCUG